RNAcentral lists this transfer RNA (94 nucleotides) under Penicillium nalgiovense. RNAcentral's name for it is "tRNA-Arg". It matches the Rfam family "tRNA". Rfam says of the family: Transfer RNA (tRNA) molecules are approximately 80 nucleotides in length. Their secondary structure includes four short double-helical elements and three loops (D, anti-codon, and T loops). Further hydrogen bonds mediate the characteristic L-shaped molecular structure. tRNAs have two regions of fundamental functional importance: the anti-codon, which is responsible for specific mRNA codon recognition, and the 3' end, to which the tRNAs corresponding amino acid is attached (by aminoacyl-tRNA synthetases). tRNAs cope with the degeneracy of the genetic code in two manners: having more than one tRNA (with a specific anti-codon) for a particular amino acid; and 'wobble' base-pairing, i.e. permitting non-standard base-pairing at the 3rd anti-codon position. The record is from RNAcentral. Lineage: Eukaryota; Fungi; Ascomycota; Eurotiomycetes; Eurotiales; Aspergillaceae.
AGGGCGGCUGGCCUAAUGGUAAGGCGUCUGAUUUCGGCGGAGUGAUUCAUUCAACUGCUCAGAAGACUGCAGGUUCGAUCCCUGCGUCGCUCAU